This 2362-nucleotide long non-coding RNA is filed under the name Salmo salar (Atlantic salmon). RNAcentral's name for it is "lncRNA (ENSSSAG00000105996.1)". Lineage: Eukaryota; Metazoa; Chordata; Actinopteri; Salmoniformes; Salmonidae. The record is from RNAcentral.
CUGGUGUUGGUGUGUGAAGAGAGAGAGUUCACUGGUGUUGGUCUGUGAAGAGAGAGAGAGAGUUCACUGGUGUUGGUGUGUGAAGAGAGAGAGUUCACUGGUGUUGGUGUGUGAAGAGAGAGAGUUCACUGGUGUUGGUGUGUGAAGGGAGACAGAGUUCACUGGUGUUGGUGUGUGAAGAGAGAGAGUUCACUGGUGUUGGUGUGUGAAGAGAGACAGAGUUCACUGGUGUUGGUGUGUGAAGAGAGAGAGAUCACUAGUGUUGGUGUGUGAAGAGAGAGAGUUCACUGGUGUUGGUGUGUGAAGAGAGAGAGUUCACUGGUGUUGGUGUGUGAAGAGAGAGAGUUCACUGGUGUUGGUGUGUGAAGAGAGACAGAGUUCACUGGUGUUGGUGUGUGAAGAGAGAGAGUUCACUAGUGUUGGUGUGUGAAGUGAGACAGAGUUCACUGGUGUUGGUCUGUGAAGAGAGACAGAGUUCACUGGUGUUGGUGUGUGAAGAGAGAGAGAGUUCACUGGUGUUGGUGUGUGAAGAGAGAGAGUUCACUGGUGUUGGUGUGUGAAGAGAGAGAGUUCACUGGUGUUGGUGUGUGAAGAGAGAGAGUUCACUGGUGUUGGUGUGUGAAGAGAGAGUUCACUGGUGUUGGUGUGUGAAGGGAGAGAGUUCACUGGUGUUGGUGUGUGAAGAGAGACAGAGUUCACUGGUGUUGGUGUGUGAAGAGAGAGAGAGUUCACUGGUGUUGGUGUGUGAAGAGAGAGAGUUCGCUGGUGUUGGUGUGUGAAGAGAGAGAGUUCACUGGUGUUGGUGUGUGAAGGGAGACAGAGUUCACUGGUGUUGGUGUGUGAAGAGACAGAGUUCACUGGUGUUGGUGUGUAAAGAGAGAGAGUUCGCUGGUGGUGGUGUGUGAAAUGAGAGAGUUCACUGGUGUUGGUGUGUGAAGAGAGACAGAGUUCACUGGUGUUGGUGUGUGAAGAGAGAGAGUUCACUGGUGUUGGUGUGAAGAGAAGAGAGAGAGUUCACUGGUGUUGGUGUGUGAAGAGAGACAGAGUUCACUGGUGUUGGUGUGUGAAGGGAGAGAGUUCACUGGUGUUGGUGUGUGAAGAGAGACAGAGUUCACUGGUGUUGGUGUGUGAAGAGGUUGAUUAUGUGCAUUAAAAAAAGUCAUCAUGUUCUUCAUGCGAACUGACAGAAUGGUCAGAUGCUAUUUCUGGAGGCACUAUUUCAGAUCAUUCUCCAGAUCAUUCUCUUCUUUAGUGGAAAUGGAGAGGAAGUCAAAGCAGAGAACAGUGUUGGUUAGCUCUUGUCACGUGACCUGAGAUGAAAUGCACAUGACUCAGGCAGGCCAUUGAAGAUUUUUGAGUAGUGAGGGGGAGUUGAGAAAAACCAUGAAUGAAAUGGUGGUUGCACUGCCCAAUUGGCAGGAUCAUCUUCUGGAUGACAAUGAAUGUGAUUUCAUUUCAUGUUUGUUUUCUUAUCUCAUAUAUCUAUCUCUCUCUCUCGCCACAGCUCUACGUCAUAACCACAUUGUAUACAACUGAAUUGAGUGUUGAUGCAAGCUUUCAUAUUUCAGACCAAAAAAGGUCUCAAAAUAAAAUUGCCGAACAUACCAUCACAAAUAGAGAGACAUAGAUCACUCCGAUAAAACAUGGAUAAAUGCAUGUGUACGAUAUCAACCCCAAUCAGACUCUUUCCUGUGGUUAUGUUUCUCAAAGGGAGAGAGAUGCCUGCUGUUUCUGCAGGUGGCAUCUAUUUCAAACACCACAAAGCAGCUAGCAGCAGACUUCUAGGAAGAACCACAUAGUCAAUGCUAACUGAUGUGAGUGUUUAAGUACGUAUAUCCGCUGUUAUUCGAAGGCUAGGCCACAGACAGACACAGCAGGAAGUACAUUGCAGUAAGUGUUGUUACCAUGCAGAACUGGCCCGGAGAAGACUUGCUGCAACACACAGUAAUGAUUUGUGCCUUUAGAGAGCUAUUUCCUGGUCCCAGAUCGUCAUGUGUUUGCUAUGGCAUACAUACACCAGGUACAGCAAUGAUCGUCACAGGAGUGUGACUGGCUGGGCUUGAACCCUGACCUCUGAGCACCACAAGAUUGCAUUGGCCUGCGGAGCGAACGCCUAGCGCCUAGGUACUAGCCCAGGGAGCAAACUGAAGUCUUCAGGUCUCAGCUAAGGUUAUUCAUCACGCAAGUCAAGUGUUUCUGUCCCCUAUGGGCCCUGGUCAAAAGUAGUGCACUACAUAAGGAAUAGAGUGCCAUUCGGGAUACAGUCAGAGUAUUCCUUUUGUUCUAUAUGACAACUAUGCAUACUUUAUAAUGGUUAAAGGGUAAUCAUUUGGCAUUCCUGAAGAAAUAAUAUCCUGCAUGU